This 440-nucleotide ribosomal RNA is filed under the name uncultured bacterium. RNAcentral's name for it is "partial 16S ribosomal RNA". It matches the Rfam family "Bacterial small subunit ribosomal RNA", at positions 338 to 795 of the family's 1533-position model. The record is from RNAcentral.
CCUACGGGAGGCUGCAGUAGGGAAUAUUGCUCAAUGGGGGAAACCCUGAAGCAGCAACGCCGCGUGGAGGAUGAAGGUUUUCGGAUUGUAAACUCCUUUUGUUAGAGAAGAUAAUGACGGUAUCUAACGAAUAAGCACCGGCUAACUCCGUGCCAGCAGCCGCGGUAAUACGGAGGGUGCAAGCGUUACUCGGAAUUACUGGGCGUAAAGAGCACGUAGGCGGGAUAGCAAGUCAGAUGUGAAAUCCUAGGGCUUAACCAUAGAACUGCAUUUGAAACUGUUAUUCUAGAGUAUGGGAGAGGUAGGUGGAAUUCUUGGUGUAGGGGUGAAAUCCGUAGAGAUCAAGAGGAAUACUCAUUGCGAAGGCGACCUGCUAGAACAUAACUGACGCUGAUGCGCGAAAGCGUGGGGAGCAAACAGGAUUAGAUACCCUUGUAGUC